Long non-coding RNA from Serinus canaria (Common canary), 327 nucleotides. RefSeq lists it as uncharacterized. The record is from RefSeq and is a predicted model, not a curated record. The transcript is spliced from 3 exons. NCBI's taxonomy places the organism in Eukaryota, Metazoa, Chordata, Aves, Passeriformes, Fringillidae.
UGAGGAAGCUGAAUAACACCUCUUGCUGCUGUCAUCUCCAAAAGCUGGGUAUCCUCAGUUUAGAUCAGCACUGGGGAAUAUUUUCCAUUUGGGGUAGAAGUAAAAUCCUGGGAAUCAUAAAGUUAUUUGAAUUUUCAACUUUCAAACAUUGCAUUUUCCUUCUACUAAAAAAUAAUGCUGAAGAGAAUUAAAGGAGCUGUUCCAGGAUUUCUUCUCUCUGGGAGAUACAGCCAAAGUGAUUCACGCCAUUGGAGCAGAUGUGAACUCUUUGGUUUGGAUGCCAGUCCAGAAAUAUGUGCAUUUUUUACCUUCCUUUUUGGGAGCAAG